This 465-nucleotide ribosomal RNA is filed under the name uncultured bacterium. Its description in RNAcentral is "partial 16S ribosomal RNA". It matches the Rfam family "Bacterial small subunit ribosomal RNA", at positions 28 to 507 of the family's 1533-position model. The record is from RNAcentral.
GACGAACGCUGGCGGCGUGCUUAACACAUGCAAGUCGAACGGAAAGGCCCUGCUUGCCGGGUACUCGAGUGGCGAACGGGUGAGUAACACGUGGGUGAUCUGCCCUGCACUUCGGGAUAAGCCUGGGAAACUGGGUCUAAUACCGGAUAGGAGCCAUUUUUAGUGUGAUGGUUGGAAAGUUUUUUCGGUGUAGGAUGAGCUCGCGGCCUAUCAGCUUGUUGGUGGGGUAAUGGCCUACCAAGGCGGCGACGGGUAGCCGGCCUGAGAGGGUGGACGGCCACAUUGGGACUGGGAUACGGCCCAGACUCCUACGGGAGGCAGCAGUGGGGAAUAUUGCACAAUGGGCGCAAGCCUGAUGCAGCGACGCCGCGGGGGGGAUGACGGCCUUCGGGUUGUAAACUCCUUUCGCUAGGGACGAAGCUUUUUGUGACGGUACCUAGAUAAGAAGCACCGGCUAACUACGUG